GCAGUGGUGAUUCAGUGGUAGAAUUCUUGUUUUCUAUGCAGGAGACCUGGCUUCAAUUCCCAACCAAUGCA
This 71-nucleotide transfer RNA is filed under the name Loxodonta africana (African savanna elephant). It matches the Rfam family "tRNA". Rfam says of the family: Transfer RNA (tRNA) molecules are approximately 80 nucleotides in length. Their secondary structure includes four short double-helical elements and three loops (D, anti-codon, and T loops). Lineage: Eukaryota; Metazoa; Chordata; Mammalia; Proboscidea; Elephantidae. The record is from Rfam by way of RNAcentral.